Molecule: ribosomal RNA, 315 nt
Filed under: uncultured bacterium
Lineage: Bacteria
Description: bacterial SSU rRNA
Rfam family: Bacterial small subunit ribosomal RNA
Source: RNAcentral
GACGAACGCUGGCGGCGUGCCUAAUACAUGCAAGUAGAACGCUGAGGACUGGUGCUUGCACCGGUUCAAGGAGUUGCGAACGGGUGAGUAACGCGUAGGUAACCUACCUCAUAGCGGGGGAUAACUAUUGGAAACGAUAGCUAAUACCGCAUGACAAUGGAGGACCCAUGUCUUUCAUUUAAAAGGUGCAACUGCAUCACUAUGAGAUGGACCUGCGUUGUAUUAGCUAGUUGGUGAGGUAACGGCUCACCAAGGCGACGAUACAUAGCCGACCUGAGGGGUGAACGGCCACACUGGGACUGAGACACGGCCCAG